AUUGCCUACGGGACGCAGCAGUGAGGAAUAUUGGUCAAUGGUCGGGAGACUGAACCAGCCAAGCCGCGUGAGGGAUGAAGGUACAGAGUAUCGUAAACCUCUUUUGUCAGGGAACAAAGGCGGGGACGCGUCCCCGGAUGAGUGUACCUGAAGAAAAAGCAUCGGCUAACUCCGUGCCAGCAGCCGCGGUAAUACGGAGGAUGCGAGCGUUAUCCGGAUUUAUUGGGUUUAAAGGGUGCGCAGGCGGUCUGUUACGUCAGCGUUCACAGCCCGGGGCUCCACCCCGGCCCGCCGUUGACACUGGC
This 305-nucleotide ribosomal RNA is filed under the name uncultured bacterium. RNAcentral's name for it is "bacterial SSU rRNA". It matches the Rfam family "Bacterial small subunit ribosomal RNA", at positions 334 to 637 of the family's 1533-position model. The record is from RNAcentral.